This 395-nucleotide ribosomal RNA is filed under the name Cacoscelis sp. JJG195. RNAcentral describes it as "SSU rRNA". It matches the Rfam family "Eukaryotic small subunit ribosomal RNA", at positions 608 to 965 of the family's 1831-position model. Lineage: Eukaryota; Metazoa; Arthropoda; Insecta; Coleoptera; Chrysomelidae. The record is from RNAcentral.
AGUUGUUGCGGUUAAAAAGCUCGUAGUCGAAUCUGUGUCCCGCGCCGCUGGUUCAUCGUACGCGGUGUCAACUGGCGUGCCGCGGGACGUCCUGCCGGUGGGCUUAGCUCGCAAGGGCGGCCCAACUCAAUCCCGCCGCGGUGCUCUUCAUUGAGUGUCGAGGUGGGCCGGCACGUUUACUUUGAACAAAUUAGAGUGCUUAAAGCAGGCUAAAACUUCGCCUGAAUACUGUGUGCAUGGAAUAAUGGAAUAGGACCUCGGUUCUAUUUUGUUGGUUUUCGGAACCCCGAGGUAAUGAUUAAUAGGAACGGAUGGGGGCAUUCGUAUUGCGACGUUAGAGGUGAAAUUCUUGGAUCGUCGCAAGACGGACAGAANCGAAAGCAUUUGCCAAAGAA